RNAcentral lists this ribosomal RNA (1364 nucleotides) under uncultured bacterium. RNAcentral describes it as "16S ribosomal RNA". It matches the Rfam family "Bacterial small subunit ribosomal RNA", at positions 63 to 1435 of the family's 1533-position model. The record is from RNAcentral.
CGAGCGGUAUGGAUAGCUUGCUAUCCAGAGAGCGGCGUACGGGUGCGUAACACGUGUGCAACCUGCCUUUAUCUGGGGGAUAGCCUUUCGAAAGGAAGAUUAAUACCCCAUAAUAUGGUGUCCGGCAUCGGUCGCCAUUGAAAGCCUCGGCGGAUAGAGAUGGGCACGCGCAAGAUUAGAUAGUUGGCGGGGUAACGGCCCACCAAGUCGAUGAUCUUUAGGGGUCCUGAGAGGGAGAUCCCCCACACUGGUACUGAGACACGGACCAGACUCCUACGGGAGGCAGCAGUGAGGAAUAUUGGACAAUGGGUGGAAGCCUGAUCCAGCCAUCCCGCGUGAAGGAUGACGGUCCUAUGGAUUGUAAACUUCUUUUGUACAGGGAUAAACCUGCCCUCGUGAGGGCAGCUGAAGGUACUGUACGAAUAAGCACCGGCUAACUCCGUGCCAGCAGCCGCGGUAAUACGGAGGGUGCGAGCGUUAUCCGGAUUUAUUGGGUUUAAAGGGUCCGUAGGCGGGCCUGUAAGUCAGUGGUGAAAUCUCAUAGCUUAACUAUGAAACUGCCAUUGAUACUGCAGGCCUUGAGUAAAUUUGAAGUGGCUGGAAUAAGUAGUGUAGCGGUGAAAUGCAUAGAUAUUACUUAGAACACCGAUUGCGAAGGCAGGUCACUAAGAUUUAACUGACGCUGAUGGACGAAAGCGUGGGGAGCGAACAGGAUUAGAUACCCUGGUAGUCCACGCCGUAAACGAUGCUAACUCGUUUUUGGAUCUUCGGGUUCAGAGACCAAGCGAAAGUGAUAAGUUAGCCACCUGGGGAGUACGUCCGCAAGGAUGAAACUCAAAGGAAUUGACGGGGGCCCGCACAAGCGGUGGAUUAUGUGGUUUAAUUCGAUGAUACGCGAGGAACCUUACCAAGACUUAAAUGGGAAUUGACAGAUUUAGAAAUAGAUCCUCCUUCGGGCAAUUUUCAAGGUGCUGCAUGGUUGUCGUCAGCUCGUGCCGUGAGGUGUUAGGUUAAGUCCUGCAACGAGCGCAACCCCUGCCAACAGUUGCCAUCAUUCAGUUGGGGACUCUGUUGGGACUGCCUACGCAAGUAGAGAGGAAGGUGGGGAUGACGUCAAAUCAUCACGGCCCUUACGUCUUGGGCCACACACGUAAUACAAUGGCCGGUACAGAGGGCAGCUACCUGGUGACAGGAUGCGAAUCUCGAAAGCCGGUCUCAGUUCGGAUUGGAGUCUGCAACUCGACUCUAUGAAGCUGGAAUCGCUAGUAAUCGCGCAUCAGCCAUGGCGCGGUGAAUACGUUCCCGGGCCUUGUACACACCGCCCGUCAAGCCAUGGAAGUCUGGGGUACCUGAAGUCGGUGACC